This 780-nucleotide ribosomal RNA is filed under the name uncultured bacterium. RNAcentral describes it as "bacterial SSU rRNA". It matches the Rfam family "Bacterial small subunit ribosomal RNA", at positions 8 to 796 of the family's 1533-position model. The record is from RNAcentral.
AGAGUUUGAUCAUGGCUCAGAAUCAACGCUGGCGGCAUGCCUAACACAUGCAAGUCGAGCGAGAAAGUGUAGCAAUACAUGAGUACAGCGGCGCACGGGUGAGUAACACGUGGAUAACCUGCCUCAAAGUGGGGAAUAACACCGGGAAACCGGUGCUAAUACCGCAUAUUCUGAUGAGAUCUGUGGAUUUUGUCAGUAAAGGAGCAAUUCGCUAUGAGAGGGGUCCGCGGCUGAUUAGCUAGUUGGUGAGGUAAUGGCUCACCAAGGCAACGAUCAGUAGCCGGUCUGAGAGGACGGUCGGCCACACUGGAACUGAGACACGGUCCAGACUCCUACGGGAGGCAGCAGUGGGGAAUUUUUCGCAAUGGGGGAAACCCUGACGAAGCAAUGCCGCGUGGAUGAUGAAGUAUUUCGGUACGUAAAAUCCUUUCGACGGGGACGAAACCGCAAGGUUGACGGUACCCGUAGAAGAAGCCCCGGCUAACUCCGUGCCAGCAGCCGCGGUAAUACGGGGGGGGCAAGCGUUGUUCGGAAUUACUGGGCGUAAAGGGUGCGUAGGCGGCUUUCUAAGUUGGAUGUGAAAACUCUGGGCUCAACCCAGAGACUGCAUCCAAAACUGGAGAGCUUGGGUUCUGGAGGGGAAAGCGGAAUUCCUGGUGUAGCGGUGAAAUGCGUAGAUAUCAGGAGGAACACCGGUGGCGAAGGCGGCUUUCUGGACAGAUACCGACGCUGAGGCACGAAAGCUAGGGGAGCAAACAGGAUUAGAUACCCUAGUAGUCC